AGAGCGAACGCUGGCGGCAGGCCUAACACAUGCAAGUCGAACGGAACCUUCGGGUUCAGUGGCGGACGGGUGAGUAACACGUGGGAACGUGCCUUUUGGUUCGGAACAACUCAGGGAAACUUGAGCUAAUACCGAAUGUGCCCUUCGGGGGAAAGAUUUAUCGCCAAAAGAGCGGCCCGCGUCUGAUUAGCUAGUUGGUGGGGUAAAGGCCCACCAAGGCUACGAUCAGUAGCUGGUCUGAGAGGAUGAUCAGCCACACUGGGACUGAGACACGGCCCAGACUCCUACGGGAGGCAGCAGUGGGGAAUCUUGCGCAAUGGGCGAAAGCCUGACGCAGCCAUGCCGCGUGUAUGAUGAAGGUCUUAGGAUUGUAAAAUACUUUCACCGGGGACGAUAAUGACGGUACCCGGAGAAGAAGCCCCGGCUAACUUCGUGCCAGCAGCCGC
Molecule: ribosomal RNA, 446 nt
Filed under: uncultured bacterium
Lineage: Bacteria
Description: SSU rRNA
Rfam family: Bacterial small subunit ribosomal RNA
Source: RNAcentral